AGUCGACGAACUUCUUUAUCACCGAGUGCUUGCACUCACCGGUAAAUUGUUGAGUGGCGAACGGGUGAGUAACACGUGGGCAACCUGCCCAAAAGAGGGGGAUAACACUUGGAAACAGGUGCUAAUACCGCAUAACCAUAGUUACCGCAUGGUAGCUAUGUAAAAGGUGGCUAUGCUACCGCUUUUGGAUGGGCCCGCGGCGCAUUAGCUAGUUGGUGGGGUAAAGGCUUACCAAGGCAAUGAUGCGUAGCCGAACUGAGAGGUUGAUCGGCCACAUUGGGACUGAGACACGGCCCAAACUCCUACGGGAGGCAGCAGUAGGGAAUCUUCCACAAUGGGCGAAAGCCUGAUGGAGCAACGCCGCGUGGGUGAAGAAGGUCUUCGGAUCGUAAAACCCUGUUGUUAGAGAAGAAAGUGCGUGAGAGUAACUGUUCACGUUUCGACGGUAUCUAACCAGAAAGCCACGGCUAACUACGUGCCAGCAGCCGCGGUAAUACGUAGGUGGCAAACGUUAUCCGGAUUUAUUGGGCGUAAAGGGAACGCAGGCGGUCUUUUAAGUCUGAUGUGAAAGCCUUCGGCUUAACCGGAGUAGUGCAUUGGAAACUGGGAGACUUGAGUGCAGAAGAGGAGAGUGGAACUCCAUGUGUAGCGGUGAAAUGCGUAGAUAUAUGGAAGAACACCAGUGGCGAAAGCGGCUCUCUGGUCUGUAACUGACGCUGAGGUUCGAAAGCGUGGGUAGCAAACAG
RNAcentral lists this ribosomal RNA (746 nucleotides) under uncultured bacterium. Its description in RNAcentral is "bacterial SSU rRNA". It matches the Rfam family "Bacterial small subunit ribosomal RNA", at positions 60 to 775 of the family's 1533-position model. The record is from RNAcentral.